UGCAGUCGAGCGGAACGAGUUAUCUGAACCUUCGGGGAACGAUAACGGCGUCGAGCGGCGGACGGGUGAGUAAUGCCUAGGAAAUUGCCCUGAUGUGGGGGAUAACCAUUGGAAACGAUGGCUAAUACCGCAUAAUGCCUACGGGCCAAAGAGGGGGACCUUCGGGCCUCUCGCGUCAGGAUAUGCCUAGGUGGGAUUAGCUAGUUGGUGAGGUAAUGGCUCACCAAGGCGACGAUCCCUAGCUGGUCUGAGAGGAUGAUCAGCCACACUGGAACUGAGACACGGUCCAGACUCCUACGGGAGGCAGCAGUGGGGAAUAUUGCACAAUGGGCGCAAGCCUGAUGCAGCCAUGCCGCGUGUGUGAAGAAGGCCUUCGGGUUGUAAAGCACUUUCAGUCGUGAGGAAGGUAGUGUAGUUAAUAGCUGCAUUAUUUGACGUUAGCGACAGAAGAAGCACCGGCUAACUCCGUGCCAGCAGCCGCGGUAAUACGGAGGGUGCGAGCGUUAAUCGGAAUUACUGGGCGUAAAGCGCAUGCAGGUGGUUUGUUAAGUCAGAUGUGAAAGCCCGGGGCUCAACCUCGGAAUUGCAUUUGAAACUGGCAGACUAGAGUACUGUAGAGGGGGGUAGAAUUUCAGGUGUAGCGGUGAAAUGCGUAGAGAUCUGAAGGAAUACCGGUGGCGAAGGCGGCCCCCUGGACAGAUACUGACACUCAGAUGCGAAAGCGUGGGGAGCAAACAGGAUUAGAUACCCUGGUAGUCCACGCCGUAAACGAUGUCUACUUGGAGGUUGUGGCCUUGAGCCGUGGCUUUCGGAGCUAACGCGUUAAGUAGACCGCCUGGGGAGUACGGUCGCAAGAUUAAAACUCAAAUGAAUUGACGGGGGCCCGCACAAGCGGUGGAGCAUGUGGUUUAAUUCGAU
Molecule: ribosomal RNA, 918 nt
Filed under: Vibrio sp. 2.3.052DS4
Lineage: Bacteria; Pseudomonadati; Pseudomonadota; Gammaproteobacteria; Vibrionales; Vibrionaceae
Description: bacterial SSU rRNA
Rfam family: Bacterial small subunit ribosomal RNA
Source: RNAcentral